GACGAACGCUGGCGGCGUGCCUAAUACAUGCCAGUCGAACGAGAGCGACCGGUGCUUGCACUGGUCAAUCUAGUGGCGAACGGGUGAGUAACACGUGGGUAACCUGCCCAUCAGAGGGGGAUAACAUCCGGAAACGGAUGCUAAAACCGCAUAGGUCUUCGAACCGCAUGGUUUGAAGAGGAAAAGAGGCGCAAGCUUCUGCUGAUGGAUGGACCCGCGGUGCAUUAGCUAGUUGGUGAGGUAACGGCUCACCAAGGCCGUGAUGCAUAGCCGACCUGAGAGGGUGAUCGGCCACAUUGGGACUGAGACACGGCCCAAACUCCUACGGGAGGCAGCAGUAGGGAAUCUUCCGCAAUGGACGCAAGUCUGACGGAGCAACGCCGCGUGAGUGAAGAAGGUUUUCGGAUCGUAAAACUCUGUUGUUAGAGAAGAACAAGUGCUAGAGUAACUGUUAGCGCCUUGACGGUAUCUAACCAGAAAGCCACGGCUAACUACGUG
This 498-nucleotide ribosomal RNA is filed under the name uncultured bacterium. RNAcentral's name for it is "partial 16S ribosomal RNA". It matches the Rfam family "Bacterial small subunit ribosomal RNA", at positions 28 to 507 of the family's 1533-position model. The record is from RNAcentral.